AGGGAAGGGAGAACCAGAACCACAUUUCAAUGAAGGUAUAAAAUUAUCCAGAAUUAUCAACGGAGCAGAAACCAGAUCACAUCUGAGCAACAGAUCAUUUGGCAGAGAAAUAUAAAUUACGAGUUUUAGCACAAUUUUGUGCAUAUCUACACACAGGUAAGUCUCACUAAGUUUAACAGGGUUUAUUCUGUGGCAAGUGAGUCCAAAGAAUUGGAGCCUUAAAAAUGUCAUCUGAUUGGGUUGGUGGGGAAGGAAUUUUUCCCACUCUCACUUCUUACC
Molecule: long non-coding RNA, 279 nt
Filed under: Pogona vitticeps (central bearded dragon)
Lineage: Eukaryota; Metazoa; Chordata; Lepidosauria; Squamata; Agamidae
Description: lncRNA (ENSPVIG00000000200.1)
Source: RNAcentral